This 854-nucleotide long non-coding RNA is filed under the name Marmota monax (woodchuck). The record is from RNAcentral. Lineage: Eukaryota; Metazoa; Chordata; Mammalia; Rodentia; Sciuridae.
AUCCCUGGAUGCUGGGUCACGACAUGUGGCAGAGCUCAUGUCUGCCCUAUGGAUGUGUGGCUGCUGCAUCUCAGCCUCUGGGUCCCAACCCCAUCAACCGGGUUUAUUGACUCUUUUAUUGACAAUGCUGGAGCCUAAUGAGGACAAGAACUGCACACUUCAUUAAGGGAUGUGAAAGGAGAGAUGAUGCAUCCAGUCAGUGCCAAGAAAUGGGCUCACUGUGUCCUUUGUGAGGCCCCAGAAACUAGGCUUCAUCCCACCACAGAGGCAGAGAAAAUGGACAUAAGAUGCUAACUUAGGUGCAUCACUUUGGUGUCCUUAAAAUGCAGGAUUUCCAUGGCCUGCCAGAAGACUUGCUCUCACUAAUUAGCCAACCCUUUGACUUAGCAGGGUCCUAUUCUGUGUGCACUCCCAUAAAUGUACCUUUAAUGAUCUCCCCUUCUGGUUCACACUCCUAGAUUCUUUGCCAUAAUGAACACAACAAGAUAAACAGGUUCUCACAUCAUAUAAGACAACAUGCCCAUAAGCAGUUUCUCCAUGAAGCAUAGGCUGGAAACACAUGAGGAAUAAUUAAAACUCAAAAGAAUCUUCAAAGAGGUCAAAUUCAAGAUGAGGAACAGACUCUUAUGCUCUGCCCGGGGUCCCCAGCCAGGAGCUUUGCUGGCAUUAGAAUCCUGGUGCUGGUUUAAAACUCUUGUAGAGUUGAACAAUACCCAAAAUAGUUAUAGUUAAGGAUUACUGAACCGUUCUGUAAAGUAGUCACUGUUCCCUCCAAACAGUAACCUUCCUUUCUUUGUUCUUUAUCUUAUCUUUCUAUCAUUCCCUUUAUUAUUUUUCCCCUAUCUCCCCCAGCC